Molecule: ribosomal RNA, 676 nt
Filed under: uncultured bacterium
Lineage: Bacteria
Description: bacterial SSU rRNA
Rfam family: Bacterial small subunit ribosomal RNA
Source: RNAcentral
GGGGACAACCCGCCGAAAGGCGGGCUAAACCCGCGUACAUGCCACCGGGGCAUCCCGGAGGCAGGAAAGGCUUCGGCCGGACAGGGAUGGGCAUGCGGCGCAUUAGGCAGUAGGCGGGGUAACGGCCCACCUAACCGACGAUGCGUAGGGGUUCUGAGAGGAAGGUCCCCCACACUGGUACUGAGACACGGACCAGACUCCUACGGGAGGCAGCAGUGAGGAAUAUUGGUCAAUGGUCGGGAGACUGAACCAGCCAAGCCGCGUGAGGGAUGAAGGUACAGAGUAUCGUAAACCUCUUUUGUCAGGGAACAAAGGCGGGGACGUGUCCCCGGAUGAGUGUACCUGAAGAAAAAGCAUCGGCUAACUCCGUGCCAGCAGCCGCGGUAAUGCGGAGGAUGCGAGCGUUAUCCGGAUUUAUUGGGUUUAAAGGGUGUGCAGGCGGUCUGUUAAGUCAGCGGUCAAAGCCCGGGGCUCAACCCCGGCCCGCCGUUGAAACUGGCAGUCUCGAGUUGGAGAGAAGUAUGCGGAAUGCGCGGUGUAGCGGUGAAAUGCAUAGAUAUCGCGCAGAACUCCGAUUGCGAAGGCAGCAUGCCGGCUCCACACUGACGCUGAGGCACGAAAGCGUGGGUAUCGAACAGGAUUAGAUACCCUGGUAGUCCACGCAGUAAACGAUGAA